UUCUUUACUGUGCUUCACAAUUGACAGUGCGGCAUUUGCAAGGGACAGCUGGGAGAUGCAGCAAGUGGGACAGAUGUCAGGAUUAGAAAUGGUCUUCUGAACUGCAAUGAUUGUUACAUCCGAUCCAGAACUGCUGGACAGCCAACUACAUUGUGACAUGACUUUCAGUCCUAGUAACUUUCAAGAAGGAACUCUCUUCUCACGUGUAUUGGCUGCCUCCAGACAAUCAUUUGUAAGAGCUUGAAUUCAUGGACAUCGUGGCUCUCAUCUCAUUUUAAAAAACUCAUAAAAGUGCUGCACCUGCUCCUUUAAAAUGCAAUAUGUCAGUUUUUCCUUUCUUAAGAAAUCUGCAAAAUAUGUAUGACCAUAUUUGUUAAGGCAAAGCCUAAGUACUGUAACAACAACAACAACAAAAUCCCACCUUUUCAGGUAUGUUGAUGAUUUUCAGUCUCUUACUUUGUUCUUCUGAAAGUAAUAAGAAAAUAAACAUGCAAUAAAGCUGUUUUGUGUUAACAUUUCUAGGAAUUAAAAGUUUGAGUUUACGGAACCUUUAUAGAAUAUGCCAAGUUGAGAUGAGAAGUAAUUUUAAGAUAGCAUCUAAUCAGUGCAUUUGAAAAACUAAGCAUCACAGCACGACUGCUCUGUUAUAACUGAAGCUAUAACUUUUUUUAUACAGAGACUAGUUUGAUAAUACAUCCUGUAAUUCUGAGACAUUUUGUGUUUAUAUUACCUUCAGCGGAGGGUAGGAGUUAUACAAAUAAAUUAUUGCACCUUUAGCAAUAGGAUUUUUUGUUUGUGUACCUCAAGUAAUGUUCAUGACUAUAGCUUGAUAUUCUCUCAAAUAAAGAUUUCUUCAUUAAACCUAAA
Molecule: non-coding RNA, 867 nt
Organism: Coturnix japonica (Japanese quail)
Lineage: Eukaryota; Metazoa; Chordata; Aves; Galliformes; Phasianidae
Source: RefSeq, a predicted model, not a curated record